AGGACGAACGCUGGCGGCGUGCUUAACACAUGCAAGUCGAGCGGAAAGGCCCUUCGGGGUACUCGAGCGGCGAACGGGUGAGUAACACGUGAGCAACCUGCCCUUAGCUUCGGGAUAGCUCCGGGAAACCGGAAUUAAUACCGGAUAUGACUAUGGCCGACAUCAGCCAUGGUGGAAAGUUUUUCGGCUAGGGAUGGACUCGCGGCCUAUCAGCUAGUUGGUGAGGUAACGGCUCACCAAGGCGACGACGGGUAGCCGGCCUGAGAGGGCGACCGGCCACACUGGGACUGAGACACGGCCCAGACUCCUACGGGAGGCAGCAGUGGGGAAUAUUGCGCAAUGGGCGAAAGCCUGACGCAGCGACGCCGCGUGGGGAUGAAUGCCUUCGGGUUGUAACCCCUUUCAGCAGGGACGAAGCGAAAGUGACGGUACCUGCAGAGAAGCGCCGGCUAACUACGUGCCAGCAGCCGC
RNAcentral lists this ribosomal RNA (471 nucleotides) under uncultured bacterium. Its description in RNAcentral is "SSU rRNA". It matches the Rfam family "Bacterial small subunit ribosomal RNA", at positions 26 to 518 of the family's 1533-position model. The record is from RNAcentral.